GGGCUGCAAUGUGUCCUCCCAGCGCCAAAUGCGCUGAGCCUGAAGGAUUACCUUGUCUCUGGUCUUUCUACUGAACUUUAAGGUCAUUAUGAAACGCCUAUACUUGAGAUUACAGAGAGGAUAGGUACCGCAAAUAGAUCCUGACCAUAACCCAAAGAACAACGACACCAGUUAUGAGAAGCUAUCUGAUCCUUCAUCGUACUGGUCAACACAGAGAAGGUGGGACAGUGAAAGUAUCAUCUGGAAAUUGGUCAGGGCCAGAUUAUAAACCUGUUUGCAACAUGAGGAAAGCUCCUCUGGAUAUGAG
Long non-coding RNA from Hemiscyllium ocellatum (epaulette shark), 307 nucleotides. RefSeq lists it as uncharacterized. Lineage: Eukaryota; Metazoa; Chordata; Chondrichthyes; Orectolobiformes; Hemiscylliidae. The record is from RefSeq and is a predicted model, not a curated record. The transcript is spliced from 3 exons.